UACGGAGGGGGCAAGCGUUGUUCGGAAUUACUGGGCGUAAAGGGCGCGCAGGCGGCUGCUCAAGUCAGGCGUGAAAGGCCUGGGCUCAACCCGGGAAUUGCGCUUGAGACUGGGCUGGCUUGAGUGCGGGAGAGGAUGGUGGAAUUCCUAGUGUAGAGGUGAAAUUCGUAGAUAUUAGGAAGAACACCAGUGGCGAAGGCGGCUCACUGGUCCGGUACUGACGCUGAGGUGCGAAAGCGUGGGGAGCAAACAGG
This 254-nucleotide ribosomal RNA is filed under the name uncultured bacterium. RNAcentral's name for it is "partial 16S ribosomal RNA". It matches the Rfam family "Bacterial small subunit ribosomal RNA", at positions 524 to 776 of the family's 1533-position model. The record is from RNAcentral.